RNAcentral lists this long non-coding RNA (390 nucleotides) under Pan troglodytes (chimpanzee). Its description in RNAcentral is "long non-coding RNA NONPTRT013494". Lineage: Eukaryota; Metazoa; Chordata; Mammalia; Primates; Hominidae. The record is from RNAcentral.
UUCUGAAUUUGUCAUUUUCAGAGGCAUAUUGCUACAUUUGGGGCAAUGCAUACAUAUGUGGUUUCGUUAGCUCCAGCGGGGGCUAAUCCUCUGACAGAGCCACCUCUCACACGAAACACUGAAUGGAGGCGAUCCCGAGAUGGAUGGAGCAGCAGCAGCGCAGGUUGCUGCAGGACAGGACGAAUGGGAAGAUUGGAUGGGAUAAUGGAUCUCCUAAAGUAUCACACACCUAUAGCAACAUGCAAACAAAGGAUACCAAUAAAGUAAUACUAUCGUGAAAGGUAUUAGAAAAUGUGAGGUGCUAUACAAAUACCAGUCAUUACAGAUAAGUACCACAGAAUUUGGAGUGCACCUAUGUUGAGCCCUAGCUAUUUCACUUACUAUAAAAUC